Molecule: long non-coding RNA, 1118 nt
Organism: Triticum dicoccoides
Lineage: Eukaryota; Viridiplantae; Streptophyta; Magnoliopsida; Poales; Poaceae
Exons: 3
Source: RefSeq, a predicted model, not a curated record
GUCGUUUGGUCUCUUGCGGUGCGAGAGGGCGCCGGCCAGGUGGUGCAGGUGGCCGAUGGCGCCGGCAGCGCACACGGCCCCGGCGGGAGUCUGGUAGCAUGCGUGGCCGUCCGUCGUCGUUCGGAUCACCCGCCUACAGCCCGACUCUCUCUACGUGUGGCUGGUCUUGGCUGUUCGGCUGGCCGUGAUUUCGUUCGUUCUUCAUCUGGUGUUUCAUGAUUGGAUGUAGGAUUCGGCGGCGACCGUACGAGUGCGCCGUGGCGUUGUUUGCCACUGCCGCCACUGCCUGGAUUCGCUCGCCGGCAUCUGGAACCGCCCCAUGGAUUCGUCUCGCCGGUGCUUGGAGUCUCCGCGCCGGCAGCAUGGUAUCCCCUCCACCUUCCCAUUCCAUGCUCUCCUCCCGUCCGGUCCUCCCGCGCUUGCUGCCGCGUGUGGCGUGCGUGCCUGUUUGCUGUGCCUGUGUACGUAUUUGUUCUGUGCUUGUGUGCGUGGUUGCUAGCUGCUGUUGGGCACCGGGCCAUGGCCUCUGCUGUACGCAACUAUGAUUUGCUAAAGAAUGCAGUUUGCUUGCUACUGACAUGUUGAUGUUGCUGCCAGGGAGAAAUAGACAUGGCAUCCGCGGGUCAAUUUUCAGUUGAGAGGCUGGGAAACACCAAGCAUAUAUCAUUUGUCGCAUGAGGAUUGAGUAAAUUGAUGAUCAUUCAGUCAUCAAGGAGACGACAACUUGAUGAAAAGAUGCAUUGGAUGCAGCAUAUGGGGCAGUAUUUUGAUCUCAUCUGAUGCAUGUAUUUAUUAUUUGUCUUUAUAACAUGGCAUUUUAUUAAUUAUUCAUCUAUACUUGAGCGUAUCGCUGUAUUGGUGAAUUGUCGUAUCCCGUGUCGUCGUACCCUUAUCACGGCAUCCAUGUUGCCGUAUCGCUGCUUCAUAGAGGAAAAUGGAGAUGCUGAACUUCUGAAUGAUGUUGGCAUGGUACCAAGAAUAUAAAUAUUGGGUUGUUAAAUUAUUGUUCGGCUGGGAUCUUUAGACGAGGAUUCUUACCUUGAUACAUAUCCAACACCUUUUGUUGCUUUGUACUCCCUCCGGUCCUUUUUACUCUGCAUUUUAGGUUUGUCCGAAGU